AACACGCCACAGGGGAGCGAAAGCUGAGAAAGGUUAAGACCUGACCCUCAAUACCUGAUCUGGGUAAUACCAGCGAAGGGAGUGAUGCAAGACAGAGU
Molecule: non-coding RNA, 98 nt
Filed under: Desulforamulus hydrothermalis
Lineage: Bacteria; Bacillati; Bacillota; Clostridia; Eubacteriales; Peptococcaceae
Also listed under: 1 other name
Description: Desulfotomaculum hydrothermale TPP sequence
Rfam family: TPP riboswitch aptamer (THI element)
About the family: Vitamin B(1) in its active form thiamin pyrophosphate (TPP) is an essential coenzyme that is synthesised by coupling of pyrimidine and thiazole moieties in bacteria.
Source: RNAcentral